Caenorhabditis elegans is the source of this 225-nucleotide non-coding RNA. The record is from Ensembl. NCBI's taxonomy places the organism in Eukaryota, Metazoa, Nematoda, Chromadorea, Rhabditida, Rhabditidae.
GAAGACUUCUGUCGAGUCGGAUUAAAAGUGAUGUGUGUAUUACGAUAUAGGGUGAGAGUGAGUGAGAGGACUAGUUUGUUGUUUUACCAUGCUGGAUGACUCAGAUUCAGUGGCAGUGGAAAGUUCUCUGUAUAGUUAAAUUUACUUACUAUGAUAAUUUGUAUCAACUACUUUACGCAACUUAAUUUUGCAUGAAUCCAUAUAUUUUCAACAUGUCUCCUUCAA